ACGCUUCUUCAGACGCUCAUUUCACCCCAAACCUCCUCCCUCUGCAGCCUCGUCUCCCUCACAUUCCUGCCUUCUCACCGUCGCAACCUCCUCCCUCUGCAGCCUCGUCUCCCUCGCCUUCUCGCCUUCUCACCGUCGCACCAGAGGCGUCGCCCCUCUCACCAUCGCCACUCUGCCGUCGCCGCUCCGCUCCUCCGCCGGUUUGCUUUCUCCCUUUCUCUCUUGCUCUUGCCGAUGCAUUCGCUUUCUCCCUUUCCCUCUUGCUGAUGCCUUUGCCACCGUUCUGUGGCCUUCUAUCUCUGCCACGAUCGAGCAAGCCAGCCAUAUCUCCAACCUUCCUUCAUUGCCAGGGCCGAGCAGUAGGGACAUCUGCAAGUGUCAAGUGACAGACCCUCAAGUUGCAAUUCGUCCCCUCUUUCACCAAGAGCAGAUCAUCGCCCUUUGCCAUCAAAUCCCACUGCCCGCCAGCAGCAGCAAGUCUUCUCCUCAGCAAAAUUAUAUUCAGGCAGGCUUCUUUCGGAUGCUAUCAUGUUCGUUGUAGAUUUGCAGGUUCAGUUAGGAUGUCUGUGGAGUUCACACAAUCUACUUCUGAAAAUAUUGUUAGGAUGUCUUCUACUGUAUGUUGAAGGCCGCUCUUUAGUAUGAAUUUGGUGGGAUUGUCUGUGGAGUUCACACAAUUUGUCUCUCUUGCUUGGUUUUUGGAGGCCCCAGUAGAAUUGAUAUGAAUGGUUGCUGUAGAUUUGUUGGGAUUGUCGGAAGCGGAGGGUUUUAGUAAUGUGCUUGAUAGUACUGAGGGUAAAGUGGUGAUGCCCCUACAGGAGGGAGAGAAAGGGAGCGUUGGACGGAUUAAUCUGCUUCUUUACAAACCGCUGUUUAGAUGGUCCAGCACUGUAUUGUAGUCACUUAUACAGUUAAAUGAAUUUCUUUGGGGAUGUAGCAUGUGAAAGAAUACCACUUUGUUCAAUACAUGGUUAAAUAGAAAAAAGCAGAAAAGAGACUGAAAAUAAGCAAAAAGAUUACAUGGUUACAUGAA
Molecule: long non-coding RNA, 1033 nt
Organism: Nymphaea colorata (pocket water lily)
Lineage: Eukaryota; Viridiplantae; Streptophyta; Magnoliopsida; Nymphaeales; Nymphaeaceae
Exons: 2
Source: RefSeq, a predicted model, not a curated record